AAAAAAUACUAUUGUUAGAUAAAUUUAUUAAAUCUGAUCAUCAUGCACUGACAUGCACGCUCACUACAACAGAAUUAGGUUAUAGAGACACAUGUUUGGGACAUUUUUGAGUAAGUGUCUCAUUUAUGCUAAAACUUAAAAACACAUCUACUAAUGCCUAAAUAUAAAGCCCAAUCCUACCAAAAAUAAAAGAUUACUCUACUCAACCCACCACACUCAGUCCAUUUGGCUCGAUUACAAACAGAAAAGAAAAAAAAAAAAUCAAUUACCAUCUUUUCUUCUCUCUUCACUCAAUCCACUGAAAUUCUAGACGAAGAGCCUUUACUGUCGUCCUUCUCCGCCACCGCAGCCAACGAGAUAGAGUUUCGGCGGUUGCUAAAUGCUUAAAUAAGUGUUGGUAAAUUAGCAGCACUCUUUUAGGUUAUAGCGACACUCUUUUAACUGUCACUACAUACCUAGCGACCCCACAUAUAGCAACACUUUUUAAAAGUGUCGGUAAUUUUAGCUAGCAGCACUUUUUUGACAUGUACCUACAUUUAAAAGUGUUGCUAUAGACCGUUUUUGUUGUAGUGGCUAGCUGAUCAAUUCGUAAGAAACAUGUCUCCAUACUUUUUAC
Molecule: long non-coding RNA, 616 nt
Filed under: Ananas comosus (pineapple)
Lineage: Eukaryota; Viridiplantae; Streptophyta; Magnoliopsida; Poales; Bromeliaceae
Description: long non-coding RNA (ACOM_LNC009668)
Source: RNAcentral